This 468-nucleotide ribosomal RNA is filed under the name uncultured bacterium. RNAcentral describes it as "partial 16S ribosomal RNA". It matches the Rfam family "Bacterial small subunit ribosomal RNA", at positions 28 to 507 of the family's 1533-position model. The record is from RNAcentral.
GACGAACGCUGGCGGCGUGCUUAACACAUGCAAGUCGAACGGAAAGGCCCUGCUUUUGUGGGGUGCUCGAGUGGCGAACGGGUGAGUCACACGUGAGUAACCUGCCCUUGACUUUGGGAUAACUUCAGGAAACUGGGGCUAAUACCGGAUAGGAGCUCCUGCUGCAUGGUGGGGGUUGGAAAGUUUCGGCGGUGGGGGAUGGACUCGCGGCUUAUCAGCUUGUUGGUGGGGUAGUGGCUUACCAAGGCUUUGAUGGGUAGCCGGCCUGAGAGGGUGACCGGCCACAUUGGGACUGAGAUGCGGCCCAGACUCCUACGGGAGGCAGCGGUGGUGAAUAUUGCACAAUGGGCGGAAGCCUGAUGCAGCAACGCCGCGUGCGGGAUGACGGCCUUCGGGUUGUAAACCGCUUUCGCCUGUGACGAAGCGUGAGUGACGGUAAUGGGUAAAGAAGCACCGGCUAACUACGUG